CCUACGGGUGGCUGCAGUGGGGAAUAUUGGACAAUGGGCGAAAGCCUGAUCCAGCCAUGCCGCGUGUGUGAAGAAGGCCUUCGGGUUGUAAAGCACUUUCAGUGGGGAAGAAAGCCUUGGGGCUAAUACCCUCGAGGAAGGACAUCACCCACAGAAGAAGCACCGGCUAACUCCGUGCCAGCAGCCGCGGUAAUGCGGAGGGUGCGAGCGUUAAUCGGAAUUACUGGGCGUAAAGCGCGCGUAGGCGGUCUGAUAAGCCGGUUGUGAAAGCCCCGGGCUCAACCUGGGAACGGCAUCCGGAACUGUCAGGCUAGAGUGCAGGAGAGGAAGGUAGAAUUCCCGGUGUAGCGGUGAAAUGCGUAGAGAUCGGGAGGAAUACCAGUGGCGAAGGCGGCCUUCUGGACUGACACUGACGCUGAGGUGCGAAAGCGUGGGUAGCAAACAGGAUUAGAUACCCCAGUAGUC
Molecule: ribosomal RNA, 465 nt
Filed under: Vreelandella stevensii
Lineage: Bacteria; Pseudomonadati; Pseudomonadota; Gammaproteobacteria; Oceanospirillales; Halomonadaceae
Description: partial 16S ribosomal RNA
Rfam family: Bacterial small subunit ribosomal RNA
Source: RNAcentral